This 28-nucleotide small RNA is filed under the name Bombyx mori (domestic silkworm). Its description in RNAcentral is "ovarian small RNA-32358". The record is from RNAcentral. Lineage: Eukaryota; Metazoa; Arthropoda; Insecta; Lepidoptera; Bombycidae.
UGAUAAGUCAUUAUUCAGCGUCUUCAUC